UACGUAGGGUGCGAGCGUUGUCCGGAAUUAUUGGGCGUAAAGGGCUCGUAGGCGGUUUGUCGCGUCGGGAGUGAAAACACCGGGCUUAACUCGGUGCUGGCUUUCGAUACGGGCAGACUAGAGGUAUUCAGGGGAGAACGGAAUUCCAGGUGUAGCGGUGAAAUGCGUAGAUAUCUGGAGGAACACCGGUGGCGAAGGCGGCAUCCUGGACCAACACUGACACUGAGGAGCGAAAGCCAGGGGAGCAAACGGG
Molecule: ribosomal RNA, 253 nt
Filed under: uncultured bacterium
Lineage: Bacteria
Description: partial 16S ribosomal RNA
Rfam family: Bacterial small subunit ribosomal RNA
Source: RNAcentral